UACAAACACAAAUAUAAAAAGAUAUAUAAUGAUGAAGCUACUCUAAUGCGUGGAAGUUGUUUUAUUUCUCUUAUACUUGACAUCUCAUGAAAUCAAGAGACAGGUAAAGAGGACUGUCCCGGACUAUAUCUUUACUUCAAACUUGCAGCAUGGCCAACUGGCUACAUUAUAACAAGUACUACUGGAAUAUCACACUUAUAACGUGUUACAAAUAUUCAAUCCCUAUGUGAAUAUUAGAAAUAUAAGUCUGAAGAAAGUACGCUUCACCUUAAACUACAUAAAUUCAUUGUGAAACUUGUCUGGCAGGCCUGCAUCUACUGUAGUUAAAAAUGAUCAUUAAAUAAUUUUUUUUGGACCACAACAGAUUUAUUUUACCAGUACGUUUAACAGACACUUGACAUACAAGUUUAGAUGUUGCUAAAAUGUUUUAAAGUGCCAUAAUAUAUCUUCCUGGUGUGUUUUCCUCAUCAUUUUAUAUGAUCACAGAUGUUGUUUUGUAAAAAUAAAUUAUUGCAAAUGAAUAACUCUGCAACAUCUUGGAUAACCAAAGAGCUGUAUGCAAAUUCUUUACUUGCUCUUUGUACAAAAGAGGAGUAUCUGCUUUGUGGAUCAGUAGAACAAAUAAAGAUGUGUGAACUUCAGAGCAUGAUCUUCUCAUCAGCUCUACUUCUGUUGGCAGCAGCUGCAUCAUGUGGUGUUUUCUGUGUUGAGCUCACUCAACCUUCAUCUAUGGUUGUGAAA
This is a long non-coding RNA of Carassius auratus (goldfish), 741 nucleotides long. RefSeq lists it as uncharacterized. The record is from RefSeq and is a predicted model, not a curated record. NCBI's taxonomy places the organism in Eukaryota, Metazoa, Chordata, Actinopteri, Cypriniformes, Cyprinidae. The transcript is spliced from 2 exons.